GAUGAACGCUGGCGGUGUGCCUAAUACAUGCAAGUCGAGCGACCAGACAAGGAGCUUGCGCUUCUGCCGUUAGCGGCGGGCGGGUGAGUAACACGUGGAUCACCUUCUUAUUUUACUGGGAUGAUUUCGGGAAACCGGUUCCAAUAAUGGCUAAUAUAUUGAACCGCAUGGUUCAAUGGUGCAUGCCGGUUUUGGUGUCACUUAUAGCUGGUUCCGCGCCGCAUUAGUUAGGUGGUAAGGUAACGCCUCACCAAGGCAACGAUGCGUAGCCGGCCUGAGAGGAGGAUCAGCCACACUGGAACUGAGACACGGUCCAGACUCCUACGGGAGGCAGCAGUGGGGAAUAUUCGACAAUGGGCGAAAGCCUGACGCAGCAACACCGCGUGAGUGAAGAAGGUCUUCGGGUCGUAAAGCCCUUUUGUUGGGAAAGAAAAACAGUAGGAGAAACUACGCCCGUCUUGACGGUACCUAAACAAAAAGCACCGGCUAACUUCGUG
This 497-nucleotide ribosomal RNA is filed under the name uncultured bacterium. RNAcentral describes it as "partial 16S ribosomal RNA". It matches the Rfam family "Bacterial small subunit ribosomal RNA", at positions 28 to 507 of the family's 1533-position model. The record is from RNAcentral.